RNAcentral lists this ribosomal RNA (233 nucleotides) under uncultured bacterium. RNAcentral's name for it is "partial 16S ribosomal RNA". It matches the Rfam family "Bacterial small subunit ribosomal RNA", at positions 16 to 244 of the family's 1533-position model. The record is from RNAcentral.
AAUCUGGCUCAGGACGAACGCUGGCGGCGCGCCUAACACAUGCAAGUCGAACGAGAGAUGAGGAGCUUGCUCUUCAAAUCGAGUGGCGAACGGGUGAGUAACGCGUGAGGAACCUGCCUCAAAGAGGGGGACAACAGUUGGAAACGACUGCUAAUACCGCAUAAGCCCACGGCUCGGCAUCGAGCAGAGGGAAAAGGAGUGAUCCGCUUUGAGAUGGCCUCGCGUCCGAUUAG